CUGCUCCCUCCCAACUUCUAUUAAAUGUAAGUCUCCUUUGUCUCUGUGUGAGGAUGUGCGGAGACAAGAACUGUUGAAAGUCUGCCUGCCCCUCGUUCACUUCUCUUCCCUCCCUCCUUGAGACCCCUCCUCUCCAUUAUCCCCAUCUUCCAGAUUGACGAAUCCGAAGAAUCUUGCUACUGCCUAAGAGGUUGUGAGAGAGAUAAGUAACUGAGGCAAAGAGUGUUAAGUGAUUUGCACAGAAUUACACAACUAAUAAGUGUCUGAGGCCAGAUUUGAACUCCUGAAGACGAGCCCUCCUGACUUCAGGUUCAGCACUCAAUCCACUGAGCCAUCCAACUGCCUGUGGUUGUGCUGCCAUGUUCCCACUGGUUCCCUCUGAUGCCUAGGUGGAGACCAGCCCUGCUGGCAGUCUUCUCUGUCAGAGAUGGAGGAGGAGGAGGGAUUUCCCUUUCCCUCUUGAGUCUGGAAGGGAUUUGUGUGCAGCUGGAAAUUUGCCUACCCCCAGUCCCCUCCCCUUUACAUCAGCCAUCACAAAGACCCCCACCCCUGCCUGACAGACACAGAAGUUCCUGCACUUAUCUGCUUAGACGUGUGAGGUAA
Sarcophilus harrisii (Tasmanian devil) is the source of this 603-nucleotide long non-coding RNA. RefSeq lists it as uncharacterized. NCBI's taxonomy places the organism in Eukaryota, Metazoa, Chordata, Mammalia, Dasyuromorphia, Dasyuridae. The transcript is spliced from 3 exons. The record is from RefSeq and is a predicted model, not a curated record.